UGGUGAGGUUUGCUAAAGAGGAAGGGAUGAAGCCUGAUAGUUGAUUUAGUUAGAUAUCUAGAUCACGUAAGUUCAGUAGGUUGCCUAAUUCACGAGGAAUGGUGCCAGAUAAAUUAUUGGUGUAGAGGUGCAAGGUAUCAAGCAUGGUGAGGUUUCCUAAAGUAGAAGGAAUGGAGCCCGAUAGUUGAUUUUCUGAGAGGUCUAAGAAGUCAAGCAUGCUGAGGUUUCCUAAAGUAGAAGGGAUGGAGCCUGAUAGUUGAUUUUCAAAAAUAGAUACUUCAUAUAAGUUCACUAGGUUGCCUAAUUCAUGCGGAAUGGUGCCCAAUAAAUUAUUUACACUAAGGUACAAAAUUUUGAGUUUGAUGAGAUUUCCUAAACUGGAGGGGAUGGAACCUAUUAAAUUAUUAUGUGAGAUUCGUAGAUCCAACAUGUUAACAAGAUUGCCCAGUUCCUGGGGAAUAUUACUAGAGAACUGAUUUCUGUAAAGGAAGAGGAAUCUUAGGUUGGUCAAGUUACCAAGGGUCGAAGGGAUGGGACCAGCGAGAUUGUUUUCGUAUAAAUAAAGCACACGUAGACUCUUGAGCUGGCCAAUCUCUGGAAGCAGUGUGCCACCAAGUAAAUUUUGUUGGAAUUUGAGAGAGAUCAGUUUGGUCCAGUUGGCAAAGAAACAAGGAGGAAUCUCACCAUUGAAUUUGUUUGAAGAAAGAUCGAUCUCAGUCAGGUUAGAGAGGCUGGCAAGAGGGAGGGGCAGAUUGCCGGAAAGGCGAUUAUGUGAGAGAUCGAGAGAGGUGAGAGCAGAAAGCGUGCGUAUGCUAGGCGGGAUUGCUCCAAAUAAGUAGUUGCGUCGGAGGUGGAGGCGAGUGAGAGAUGAGAGGGCAGAGAAGUUGAGGCCGUCGAGCUUACCUACCAAGCCCGCACGAGGUAGGCUGAUGCCCGUGAUCACAGCUCGGCCUCCAUUCUCCAUGCAGGUGAUGCCAUGCCACAUGCACACGUUGUUGGAGAGAGACCAAGAACCGAGUUGUUGGGCGUGUGAAUUUUGAAGGGUGGAUUUCCAAUGGAGCAGAACUCUCGCUUGGGAUUCAACGAUUGAAGAAGCAGCAGUUGCAGCAAUUGUCGUUGCUGAUGAGUAGUGAAGAAGGAAGAAGAAUAGCAGGAGAAGGCUAAUUGAUAAAUGAUUUAGAGGAAGAAGGAUUUGCCUACGACUAGGAUCCAUAAUUAAUAAGGCUCUCUAAGUUUUCCGUACGUGGUUUCUAGUUGUGCUGGUUGGUA
RNAcentral lists this long non-coding RNA (1269 nucleotides) under Phoenix dactylifera (date palm). RNAcentral describes it as "long non-coding RNA (PDAC_LNC012531)". The record is from RNAcentral. Lineage: Eukaryota; Viridiplantae; Streptophyta; Magnoliopsida; Arecales; Arecaceae.